Long non-coding RNA from Homo sapiens (human), 2803 nucleotides. Ensembl annotates it as MIR4435-2 host gene. NCBI's taxonomy places the organism in Eukaryota, Metazoa, Chordata, Mammalia, Primates, Hominidae. The record is from Ensembl.
AUCUUCACAGCACAGUUCCUGGGAAGGUGGAGCCACCAGCCUCUCCCUGACAAGCAAAGUGGAUCAGCAAAGGCUGCAGUCACCAGCAUCUUUUCCAACCUUAAUGAACUGUAUCCUCAAAAGAACACUAUCAGACUGGUAAGACAAGCAUUAUUGUCCCACUUCACAGAUGAAGAGCUUGGGGGCCCUGUGGAUGUGUAGGAGAGUCGGCCUUCCUUUUUAUAGGCCUUUUGCUGAGCUCAGAGGACAGAGCAGAAGACAAAGCCGAAUGCAGCCCUAAGCAGACACUAUCCCAGCCCAAGGAGCUAUGCAGACAGCUCCUGCCUAGAGGAGAAACAAUUCUCUCCUUCAGCCAGGCAUGUGGCACAGAGGUGAACAGGAAAUGCUUAGGGAGACAGUUCACAGAUAUAUAUGUACUUCACAGGGCACAAUUUAAUCCAUAAAUCAAUCAUGGAUCACCGCUAAAGAAAACAAAAUAUGCUGCCACUAAUUUGCCACCACCCUGUGAGCAUGAUUGGAUGAUGUUUAUUUUGAUUAGGAGAUUGCUCCAUUUAUAAAUCUUCAAUACAUCCUGUCCCCCUAAAACGGCAUCUGGGUCUUUUGAGGGUUAAAAAAAAAAAAAAGUGAAAUUGGAUGAGGGAUGAGAGCUGGACUUCUGUGUGUCCCGGGGUCCCUGGAUCCACAGCCUGGUGCCUAGCAUCAGUUAAGCCCACGCUGGGGUCGCAUCACAUCCCGCAAAGCCACGUGCUCUGUGAGGCCAACAGGAGCCCCGCCGGGUGGACCAGCUGGAAUCUCAGAGAGCGCCGACUCUGAAACUACCCGGCUCUGCAGAAGCACGCUGGGCCCAGGGGCUUCUAGACUGACAGCUCCAUUUAUCAACUACCUAUUGGUUUUAAAAAUUGGAGUGUCUUUUCCGCGUUGACUGAUUUUGGCUCUAAGAGAUGUCGCUGGUCAUUUCAGAGUGACUGAACCUCCCCUCUAACAGAUCCCGGGAAUUGUUUUCAGGAAAGGUAAAAGGCAGCCUUUUCUGUCACAACACAACGCUGAGCCGGCAGCCUGGCUCUGUCAGGAUCUGGGGCUCCCGCGCCCGAGAAGCCCAGCCUCGCCGGCGGCCAAGUUCACCGCGAGGCCCCGCGCUGCCUGCGCUGCGCUCCCGGACCCGCACCGACCGCAGCGCGCGCCGCCGGUGCUUCUCCCACCCCAGCCUGGAAGCUGCCUCCCUCCGCCUAUGCCUGCAGGAUAAGAAGCCCGAGGAGGCGGAGCAUGGAACUCGACAGUUAAAACAUUUAAGAGAGAAAACCUAGUGUCUUGCUGGCCUGAAAUCGAGUACGCAGCCCGGGGUGAUCAGGGUCUCCCGGCCCGGAUGUGUGAGACUUGCUUCCCCUGGGCAAUAGGCGAUACGAUGCUUUAGGAGGAAGGUGUCUCUCCCUCCUAAGCCCCGGAGGGGAGAACUUCCAAAGACAGAAAACCACAGGCUUCCUGGCACAGAGCUUUCCCUUUAUCAGCUAAAGCAGAAUCUUUUCUGGCCUUAACCUGGCCCCUUCCUCUAACUGCAGGCAGAGAGGCAGACAGAAAAGCACUUGCUGAAACACAAAGUUUUGUUCUGUCCUCAACGAACUGUCUAGAGCUGAUUGCUGAUAGUCGUGGUGCAUUAUGCCUUCCUGGUUUUCAUUUAAUUGGGCACCACGCUGCCUUUCAAGACGCCUUAAAGGAACCAACAACCAAAUCCAAGAGAGCUGGACAGACCAUUGAACACACAGUAGGCUGUGUCUCGUGGCUUUCGUUGUCUGGUGCCUCAAAGAAAACACCAGAAAGAUUGUUUCUAAGCUAGAGCCACCCCAGAUUGCUUAAAGUGCAAAGCUCACUGCUGUUGGGGGUACCCUUGUGAGACACUGGAAAGCUGGUUUUACCGUGGCCCUAUGAAGAGGAAGACUGAAAUUUAGACAGUAAUACCUUUACUAGGAUUGGAAAAGAUUUGGUUAAUGACAGCCCUGUCAUUUCUAAAACCCAUUAUCACUGUAUGAGAGAUUCCUUUGCGCUGCAUCCUCGACAGUGCUUCCUAAGGCUCUGCCGACUUCCAGUUCUGGAACAAGAUGGUUAAACUCAUUUUUCCCUGCUCUGCUCCUCUAAAUACAACUAAGUACCUUGGAAACUAUUCAGCAGACAAUGAUAAAGGGCUCUGAAAGCUAGAAGAAAAGGUGUACUUGCAAGAAACCUCAGGACUUGAGUAACAGCAACAUGUCUUGGACGAGCCUGAGGAUGUCUACAAGUGGAAGAAAAGAAGCCACUGGAGCAGAAGGUGGGGAGGAUAAAAUUUGGAGCAAGAUUCUCAAGGAAGCAACAAGAUCCUAAGAUGUAGACUGAUGCACGUUCAGCCACAAUCAAGAUGCAGAACUGUGCCAUCACAACAAAGUUCUCCCUCAUGCUGUCCCUUUAAAGUCACAUCCACUGCUCCCCCAUGACCCCACCCAUAACUAACCCCUGGCAACCAUUACUCUGGUCUCCAGUUCUACAAUUUUGUAAUAGUGAGCAUUUUACAUAAAUGGAAUUAUACAAUAUGUGACCUAUUGAGAAUGGCUUUUUUUCCCCUUCAGUGUAGUGCCCUUGAGAUCCAUCCAAGUUGUAUGUAUCAAUAAUUUGUUUCUCUUUAUUAUUGAGUAGUAUUCCAUGGUAUGGAUAUACCACAGUUUGUUUCACCAUUCUUCUAUUGUAGGACAUUUUGGUUGUUUCUAGGUUUGAGUUAUUACAUAUAAAGCUGCCGUGAAGAAUCAUAUACAAGUUUUUAUGUGCACAUAUUUCCAUU